UCGCGCGCACGCAGAUCGCUCACGUGGCCCGUUCCCGGGUCGAUGUCAUCUUGCCACGCGGCAGGUCCUGGUUGGCCAGGGCUGCUGACUGGACCGCUGACGUGGCGCUGACAGGGCACAAUUUUUUUAAAUUGCGUUUUGACCCCCAGUUUCUGAUUUUCUUUUCAAAAAUACCCCCAGAAUCCUAAUUUUCACCCCUUUUUCCCAAAAUCAAUUUCAAUUAAAUCC
Molecule: long non-coding RNA, 228 nt
Filed under: Carica papaya (papaya)
Lineage: Eukaryota; Viridiplantae; Streptophyta; Magnoliopsida; Brassicales; Caricaceae
Description: long non-coding RNA (CPAP_LNC002046)
Source: RNAcentral